UUCUUAACACCGAGACGUGAUGACGAGUGUCUACGGACAUGAAGUGACCAAUACCACGCUUCCAGGAAAAGCCACUAAGCUUCAGUUGAAUCAGAACCGUACCGCAAACCGACACAGGUGGGCAGGAUGAGAAUUCUAAGGCGCUUGAGAGAACUCGGGAGAAGGAACUCGGCAAAUUGAUACCGUAACUUCGGGAGAAGGUAUGCCCUCUAAUGUUAAGGACUUGCUCCGUAAGCAUCUGAGGGUCGCAGAGAAUCGGUGGCUGCGACUGUUUAUUAAAAACACAGCACUCUGCUAACACGAAAGUGGACGUAUAGGGUGUGACGCCUGCCCGGUGCUGGAAGGUUAAUUGAAGAUGUGCAAGCAUCGGAUCGAAGCCCCAGUAAACGGCGGCCGUAACUAUAACGGUCCUAAGGUAGCGAAAUUCCUUGUCGGGUAAGUUCCGACCCGCACGAAUGGCGUAACGAUGGCCACACUGUCUCCUCCCGAGACUCAGCGAAGUUGAAAUGGUUGUGAAGAUGCAAUCUCCCCGCUGCUAGACGGAAAGACCCCGUGAACCUUUACUGUAGCUUUGCAUUGGACUUUGAAGUCACUUGUGUAGGAUAGGUGGGAGGCUUUGAAGCAGAGACGCCAGUCUCUGUGGAGCCGUCCUUGAAAUACCACCCUGGUGACUUUGAGGUUCUAACCCAGACCCGUUAUCCGGGUCGGGGACCGUGCAUGGUAGGCAGUUUGACUGGGGCGGUCUCCUCCCAAAGAGUAACGGAGGAGUUCGAAGGUUACCUAGGUCCGGUCGGAAAUCGGACUGAUAGUGCAAUGGCAAAAGGUAGCUUAACUGCGAGACCGACAAGUCGAGCAGGUGCGAAAGCAGGACAUAGUGAUCCGGUGGUUCUGAAUGGAAGGGCCAUCGCUCAACGGAUAAAAGGUACUCCGGGGAUAACAGGCUGAUUCCGCCCAAGAGUCCAUAUCGACGGCGGAGUUUGGCACCUCGAUGUCGGCUCAUCACAUCCUGGGGCUGUAGUCGGUCCCAAGGGUAUGGCUGUUCGCCAUUUAAAGUGGUACGUGAGCUGGGUUUAAAACGUCGUGAGACAGUUUGGUCCCUAUCUGCAG
Molecule: ribosomal RNA, 1107 nt
Filed under: Kingella kingae
Lineage: Bacteria; Pseudomonadati; Pseudomonadota; Betaproteobacteria; Neisseriales; Neisseriaceae
Description: partial 23S ribosomal RNA
Rfam family: Bacterial large subunit ribosomal RNA
Source: RNAcentral